AGCAAUGCCGCGUGGGUGAAGAAGGCCUGCGGGUUGUAAAGCACUUUUAUCAGGAAAGAAACGGCCUGGGUUAAUACCCCAUGGCUCUUGCCGGUACCUGAUGAAUGAGCCCCGGCUAACUCCGUGCCCUGAGCCGCCGCAAUACAGAUGGUGCUUUCGUUAAUCGGAUUUACUGGGCGUUACCUCUGCCUAACCCGCUACGCAAGUCGGAUGUUGCAGCCCCGGGCUUAACCCGGGAAUUUUCUUCGAUACUGCGUGGCUAGAGUCUGGUAGAUUUAAGCGAAUUCCUCGUGUUAAGGCUAAAUGCCUACAUAUUAGGACGACCACCAGUGUCGAAUGAGGCUUAGUUUAUUCAAACUGAACCUGAGGUUGGAAAGCGUGGGUAGCCCACGCCAUUUCAUACCUGGGUAGUCCGCUCUCCAAACCAUGUCCAUUCGUCGUUGGGAGCCUUUUUAUCUCUCAGUCACGAACCCAUUGCGCUAUGUUGACCGCCUGGUGAUUACG
Molecule: ribosomal RNA, 504 nt
Filed under: uncultured bacterium
Lineage: Bacteria
Description: bacterial SSU rRNA
Rfam family: Bacterial small subunit ribosomal RNA
Source: RNAcentral